RNAcentral lists this ribosomal RNA (460 nucleotides) under uncultured bacterium. RNAcentral describes it as "partial 16S ribosomal RNA". It matches the Rfam family "Bacterial small subunit ribosomal RNA", at positions 338 to 795 of the family's 1533-position model. The record is from RNAcentral.
ACUACGGGAGGCAGCAGUGAGGAAUAUUGGUCAAUGGCCGGAAGGCUGAACCAGCCAUGCCGCGUGAAGGUCAGUGCCCUAUGGGCGUUAAACUUCUUUUGUGCGGGAGCAAUAAUGGUCACGUGUGGCAAGACGAGAGUACCGUACGAAUAAGCAUCGGCUAACUCCGUGCCAGCAGCCGCGGGAAUACGGGGGAGGCAUGCGUGAUCCGGAUUUAAUGGGUUUAAAGGGUGCGUAGGCUGUGAGGUAAGUCAGCGGUGAAAUGCCACCGCUCAACGGGGUGAAGUGCCAUUGAUACUGGCUUGCUGGAAUGCGUAUGGGGUGGGAAGAAUGUGUGGUGUAGCGGUGAAAUGCAUAGAGAUCACACAGAACACCGAAUGCGAAGGCAUCUCACGAAUCCGCGAUUGACGCUGAUGCACGAAAGCGUGGGUAUCAAACAGGAUUAGAUACCCGAGUAGUC